Molecule: non-coding RNA, 559 nt
Organism: Peromyscus maniculatus bairdii (prairie deer mouse)
Lineage: Eukaryota; Metazoa; Chordata; Mammalia; Rodentia; Cricetidae
Source: RefSeq, a predicted model, not a curated record
GGCUGGCCCAGCCCCCAGCCAUCCAUUCUGAUUGGGGAGGGCUGGCUAACGUGUUGUAGCCACCACCUUGUCUGAAGGCAGUUGUCGGCGUCAGCACAGCACUCUGUCCCUGGGAGAGAACCACACACAGGUGUCCAGUGACCGCUUAAAAGGGAGGAGAAAGGGGGUCUCGGUCUCUUGGGUGGUGAAGAUGGCCUGAAGCAGCAUGCCAUGGUUCCUAGCUUUCCAAGGACUCUGCAACUGGAUUUACCUUAUCCUGUAUCAGGGCCCUCCCGGAAGGAUGCAUGCUGCUGACAGGCGUCAAGGACAGACCUUGCUGCACACACAGCACCUGUCUCUGAGUUAAGUCGCAAUGGAGAGCUCAGCUUCCCCUCACAUUGUGUGGGGUUUCAGGUGGACACGGAGCCUGGCCCUGUGCUGGGCACUGGGAGGCUUGGCAGCUGUGGGCAUCACAUCUGCUUUCCUCUCAAAGAGAGUCAGUCAGACAGACCUUUACUUUUUUUCCCCCUUCAUUUUAGUGAUCUUGGAAGGAAAUUCAAAUUAAAGAUGGCUGGCAUGA